UCAAGAGGCCAAAAGCCGGCUGGAGCUUUAUCAGUCCAGAGGCUCAAGAGGAUUCCAUUGACUGUUGCGGUUCCUGAGAAAAAAAAAAAAAAAAAAUUGUUAUAUUUUUUCUUUUUGCAUCUUGGGUUGUGUAAAACAACUUCUUGGAUCUUGUUUUUGUUCCCCAAUUCAUCAAAAUUCUAAUUGAGUGUACAUACAAGUAGACAUCUUGUGUAAAUUACAUUUUCACGAAAAAUCUGAAAUCCUCUUUUAACGAGUUUCUUCAGAGUUUGCUGCCUUUCACCGAUUCUUCGCUUUUCCUUGCUGGUUGUUGUCAAUGUCAAAUUAAUUCGUAGGCCCGAACCCAAGAAUCAAGAACCAAAAAUGCAAAAACUCAAUUCGUAUGAUUUAUUGAUCUUCAAUGACCGAAUUGAAUGCCGUCGCGUCAUGAUUCUCUUGUUCUUCUGUGCUGAAAUUUUCCUUUUUUCCGGCAACGGGAAUCAAAAUGGGUCCAUAAAUUUCAUAUUUUGCUUGAAAGAUGGCGGUUUUGUGUAUUAUUGGUAGUUUGGUUCGUUGAGUUGAAAAGGGUCUUAGCUUAUAUGGUAUACAAAUAAUAAUAACAUAACAACUGUUAUAUAUGUAUAGUACCCAAAAGUGUAUUUCAUUCGAUAUAGUUUUUGUAUAUUAAGACUUUUCC
Molecule: long non-coding RNA, 676 nt
Filed under: Carica papaya (papaya)
Lineage: Eukaryota; Viridiplantae; Streptophyta; Magnoliopsida; Brassicales; Caricaceae
Description: long non-coding RNA (CPAP_LNC012285)
Source: RNAcentral